Long non-coding RNA from Pyrus x bretschneideri (Chinese white pear), 2411 nucleotides. RefSeq lists it as uncharacterized. Lineage: Eukaryota; Viridiplantae; Streptophyta; Magnoliopsida; Rosales; Rosaceae. The transcript has 11 exons. The record is from RefSeq and is a predicted model, not a curated record.
UGGGUGAGUUAGAGACUUUCAUUUCCUUUCUUUCUGAGCUGCAGUGGGACUCAGUGAGACCAUGCCGUCGGGAGAGAGAGACCGAGCGAGCAGAGAGACAAAAGAGACACGGAGGGAGAGAGAUAGGGAUUUGGUGAGAGGAAGUCAUGCGGCUUGUAGGUAGGCAGAGUCACGGGGGGUGUACGAUUCGAAGGAGAGGGAGAGGGAGACAGCGCGAAAGAGAUAGUGGGAGAGGGAGGAGUAAGGAUCGCUCGCUGAGGGUUUCGCAGUUGGGAUGCCAUGCUGAUGGAGAUAGAGAUAGAGAUAGGAGAAGGAGACAGAGACAGAGUGACAGAGAGAGAAGGAAAGGGAAGAGUGGGGAUCUCAGCGCCAUUGCUGCAGAUCCUUGAUCUUCUUCGAUCCCAUCUCUGUGUUCUUCUCAGCCUCUCACAAUCGCAGCAUCACUCACCCACUCACUCACUCACUACAGCUGAACGAUGAAUACUCUGAGGUGAAAAGAAAUGACCUCUCGAAGGCACCAUGUGGACGGAUACCUGAACCAACUUUGAUGGCACGAUCUUACCUACUAAGCAAGGUUUCAGAGAUAGUUUCAAUUUGGAGAAAUGACCUGAACAAGGUCAAUAAAAAAGUUGCAGAAUCAUUGGCUGAUUCGCAAGAGUGUCCUAAUUUGUUUGAGGACUGACAGGUUUCUCUUGCCUUAGAGUGUAAAGAUGCAGAAAAUAGGGGCAUUCAUCCUCCUGUUGACGUAAGAUACUCUAUUGGGAAAAUGAGGAGGACAAGGAGUUGGACCCUGGAUGUGCUCUUCUUCGUCAAUCCUGCGUCUACAUGUCCUCAUUCACAAGAUAAGUACCAUUUUUAUACUUGAUUUUCUACUGCUUGGUUUGGUUUUAAUUCUCUCUGCCAUUCUUACUCCACACUCUCUAUGUUUCUCACUCAGUUCAAAAGUGUGCUUUUUUGUUGGUUCUUGAUGAAAGAUUGACCAUCGAUGAUUGUUAUUGGUUAUUCAUGGUUGAUUGAGCAUUUUUGUUAUAUGAAACCAUAAAGAAUAGUUGCCUCGAUGCUGAGUUUUUUUAUUUCUUGAUGCAUUUGUGUUGAUCAGGCAUGAAGGGGCGGGUCGAUAUGAAGUGCAUCUGUGGGACAAUGGUUGCAAAAAGAAGGGCAGAGCAGGAAGGGAAGGCAAGCUGGGGAAUUACAAUCAAAUGAUGAAUCUUUAGUUUACUUGGGAAAAGCAAUGGAUUCUCAAGAAGGGCUUUAAUGUACAGAAGUAUUACAAGCCGACGUCAUCAACAUGGAAGAUGGCUAGCCAGGAUUGAAAAGGUUACUGGAGAUAAGGAUCUCUAUCUUGGGCAUUCAGGCUUGGAGAGGCAGACCCCAGAUGGUGUAUGCCUUCACCAGCAUGACCAAGGUGGUUAACCCUGCCAACUGGAGCGACGAUAACCACCCUGAAAGUAACAACAAUGUGGCCUACAAAGAGUACACAAACAAGUCAAGUCUUUCAUUAGCCUUGGAUAUAUUCAGGGUAUGGUUGCUUCCUCCUCCAAAUCCAAAAGUGUAGUUAUAUGUAUAUAUAUGUAUAUAUAUUACUUAUAUACACUACUAAUUUUGUUAGUACUAGGGAAAUAAAUGAUGUUUCUAUGUGCAUAUAUAUAUAUAUAUAUAUAUAUAUAGGUUCGAUUACAAAAUUAUAUCGAUUGAAAAUGAUACUUUAUGUUAUCAUUGACUUGGUAGAUGAAGAUGUUUCAUUUUGAAAAUGAAAGAUAGACUAUACUUGGAACAAAAUUCUUGAGACUGUUAAGGUGUGCUUUUAUAAAGCAUAUUCUCUGCUUUUAAUGCAUUUUCAAUCUGGUCUUUAAUUUGUUUCAAUUGGGCUCAUGAAGUUUGAUUACUCUUCAUUUUCAAUUGUACCAAUUGGGGUCAUAAAGUGGUUCAAAGAGCUCCAAGAGCUUGAUUCACCCAUUUUAUACUUUUCAUGUAAAACUUAUUUCAAAAAGCCAAAACAUCUUUCAUUGUAAAUGAAUUUAACCAUAGGUAACAAUCUUUUAUCCCUUCUUUUUGUUGCAUUGUUUAGGUGGUGAAUUGCACGGAAAGUGGGGGAGAGGGGUACAAGUUAUUUAAUUUGAGCAAAAUAGUAGCAUUUAAGCUUAGUUGGUUAGUGAGGAUUAGAGUCAAUAAGGCAUCCUCUGUCUAGCUAUAUCUGAAAUCUGAAUUCAUUGAACGAUGAAUAAGGUUGUAGUGAGAGAAAUUGAGAAAGUCAAGAAAAGAUGGUCCGUACAGUAUGUUGUAUGUUUCGGGAUAUCACAACAUCUUAAUUUCUGCUCUCAGGUUGCUGAAAGUCUGUAAUUUUACUUGCUACUUGAUUAUAAAAAUGUAAAACAAAAUAUGUACAUGAUUUACAAAUUUGGGUUUGAUUU